CCUCUACCUUCCGACAUUUUCCAAGGACUCCUUGCCUCCCCUCGAAUACAAACUAUCUGGAGCUGAGCCAGGGAACAAUCAUCCAGAGGCCAUCUUGUGCCCUGGCUUCCUGGCUGUGCCAUGACCCACGGCUAGAUGGCGCUAUGCCCAAAGUCCCAAUUUGGUGCUCUGGGACUACUAUAAAGAUAGCCUUCUUCCCCUAAGAAGUUAUCAGUGCCAACCCCAUCUUGCCUCAUAUCCGUUUUCCUCAGUGACCACCAGAAGUCCAAAUCCCAGCCUCUGCAGUGAUUCACUAUCACCCCGACCCUCAUCUUCUUCCUGCUUUUUAUGUACCUGAUAUGGACAUCCCAUGUUUUGCCUGUCCAGUACCCUGCCCUCCUUCUCUGGAUGACAGCACUGCAGUUUUCCUUUUCAAGAACCAUUCCCCUACUUGCCAGCAUGUGGUUCUGGUGAGUUCUGUCCACCAUAAGUGGGCAGUGGACGCAGGCUUGUCCAAUCAGAGAUGCCUCCACACUGGCUACAGUGGAUGGUUAGGGUUGGGAUUUCACCAGUGUGAGAAGGGCAGAGGCAGUGGCAGAAGACCAUGUCUACCUGUUGGGCAGCCAUCCACUGCUCUGUGGGGAGAAGCUGCCUGAGAAUGGAGCCAAUGCAGAGGAGAGCACCCUGAGGACAUGUUGGGGUCCCUGAGGCCUCUGAGACUGAAGCCAGCAGUCCCCCUGGACUUCAGGGGGACACCUUUGAUAACGAUGACACUGCUGCUGAAUGACAAGCGCUUACUGAGUUCCUCGAAGGCACCAGUGAUAUUACAGAGUACCUCAGUGAACCCCCACAGUGAUGUCUGUUCAUUCUUGAGAGAGAUGCAACACACUCUUCAUUCUACAGAUCAGAAAGCUGAGACUUAAAGAGAUUAGUCCAUUUCCUCAAGAUUACACAGCUAAUACGUAUCUCACUCGAGCCGCACCACAACUGCAGCGGACAAGAAAGAUUGUUAUUCCCAUGUCGCAGAUGAGAAAACUGAGUUCCGGCAAAGAAGCACAGCUUGUCCAAGGCAACGGUACAGCUGGGCUUCAAACCCAAGUCUUCUGGAUUCCAGAGCCAAUUUCUUCGGUCUUACUUGGUUCCCUCUUGACUCCGCCUCCAUUAAAAUGGCAGACCCCUCUGGUUUGGUAAUGAUCUCACUGCUUAAUGAUCA
Long non-coding RNA from Suricata suricatta (meerkat), 1192 nucleotides. RefSeq lists it as uncharacterized. The record is from RefSeq and is a predicted model, not a curated record. The transcript has 3 exons. NCBI's taxonomy places the organism in Eukaryota, Metazoa, Chordata, Mammalia, Carnivora, Herpestidae.